Long non-coding RNA from Mandrillus leucophaeus (drill), 781 nucleotides. RefSeq lists it as uncharacterized. NCBI's taxonomy places the organism in Eukaryota, Metazoa, Chordata, Mammalia, Primates, Cercopithecidae. The record is from RefSeq and is a predicted model, not a curated record. The transcript has 3 exons.
GAGCUUGUGUGCUUAGGCCUUACGCUGGUGGGAGAUGCUGCCACCUAGGUUACUUGUAGGACCCUAUAGGGCAACCUCCCUUUCCAGGAACUGUUUGGGAACAUCUUGCAGGAAAAUGCCCUCCUUAAAUAUACACUUCUCUUUAGUGUAUGCUAGCAGUGGAGUGUCUGGAAUAAAGAUGGCUGAAUCAUCUUCAACUCUAGUAGUUGAAACCAGUGAUGCUGACCUCCCUCUAAAAGCUGCAUUUCUGAAUUUCUGAAGGCGAACUGUCUGCCUAUAUUGCACAGCAAAAUAAUUUCCUGUAUUAAAACGUUUUUGCUCUAAAUUUCUAGGUUAAACUCUGCUUAGAUAUUGCUAAGGGGGUAGCCAAGUGUAGAAACUUAAAUUUACUGACAGAAAUCUAGAGAAUGCUUAAUUUUUUUCCAGCAAUGAAGUAGAAGAGCCAGGGAUAUCCCAGAAGGGUAUACAAAAGGGUAUGCAAAACAUCAAGAGAAGAUCAGAGGGUAAGGUUUACAGAUUGAGUUAAUAGAAUAAUGCACAAUGGGGUUUGGGUUGCAUGAGAAACAGGGUCUAUGGGUGUGUAUUUAUAAGUUCACAUAUACACAAAUGCAUACAUAUAUGUACACACACAGGCAGCCCUCAACAUUCUCAUGAUUGGCUUUUGUACAUUAUUUUUCAAUUAUUAAUACCUCAAAUUGCAUUUAUAUAGAGCAAUUGAACUUUAGUGCAUCACAAAAGAGAAGAGACUUUAAUUUCUAGUUCAAGAAAUUGAUGAGAAAGA